This is a long non-coding RNA of Gadus morhua (Atlantic cod), 1065 nucleotides long. RefSeq lists it as uncharacterized. The record is from RefSeq and is a predicted model, not a curated record. NCBI's taxonomy places the organism in Eukaryota, Metazoa, Chordata, Actinopteri, Gadiformes, Gadidae. The transcript is spliced from 2 exons.
UACAAUGGCUUUCAUCAUGCUGUUUGGGCUGAUCUAUGCUCUGGAUCUCAGUUUCCCAGACAAGCUGAAAUACACUUUUGAGUUUGUCCAGAAAAUACUCGUGAAUCUUGAUGGAGACAGGCUCAACAAGAAAAUACAGUAGUUGAAAAUCAAGCUGUUCAUGUGAAAGGAGGAACGGGUGACCAAGAACACUGGGACCACGGACGUAAUUUGGGGGGGGGGACACAGGGGACAUGUCCCCUGCGCUUUUUCAAAAGGCCGUUCUGGUCCCCUGCAGUUUUCACCGUCCGGAAACCAUGUUACGCUAUGGUAAACAGAGACUCGUCAGGCACUAGGACCAAGCGGAAACGGCCGCUCGAGCUGAAGCCAGUUUGCUUUCGUUUAGACCUGCCCACAAGCUCCUCCAUUGGCUCUGCAUUCCUUGUGUGAUUGGCCGUCCCCGCUGUCACUCCAUCAGGUUAUAAACAGCACCAGUACGCACACCGGUCUGCCAGUUGGGGAGGAGGCCGUGUUAAUCUUCCGCUGCGCAGCCAGGAUGUCUAAAAAAAGAAAAGUGGACAUAAGAGACUUCUUUCAAAGUCAAAGUGUAAGUUACUCAAAGAAAUGCGUUACACCAUCCUGCGACACCUUCACUGGCUCCCAAUAAAGCAGCACGUCCACUUCAAGAUCCUCCUCAUCAAUUACAAAGCUCUCAGUAAUCUUGUAAAGUGUAUUUGAGUUUUAUUGAAAGUGCUGAUAUAUAAAAUGUAUUGUUGUUAAAAAAAGGCGUGAAAAUUUCUGGAAAAUGUACAUGUGUUUGGAAGCUUCAUGUAGCUGAGAAGCCGCAAAUAUACUAACUGAGGCUGGUGGAUCUGUUAACCUCGCCACUGUGUGAAAGAAACAAAGAGAUAACAAAUACAGUGUUAUCAGACAAACCGUGUAAUUAUAAAUAUACACCCUUUCACACCUUAAUUGCCACGAUCAUCCUGUAAGGCUUAACAAGACGAGAAACUACUAUAACUGCCUAAAAUGACAGUGGUUCUGUGUUACAUUCAUUUUAAAUAAAUUUGAUCACUUGACUACUUA